UCUCCAAGAGACGAGUGGUGUG
This 22-nucleotide unclassified non-coding RNA is filed under the name Mus musculus (house mouse). RNAcentral's name for it is "oocyte_clustered_small_RNA10749". Lineage: Eukaryota; Metazoa; Chordata; Mammalia; Rodentia; Muridae. The record is from RNAcentral.